RNAcentral lists this non-coding RNA (27 nucleotides) under Homo sapiens (human). The record is from RNAcentral. Lineage: Eukaryota; Metazoa; Chordata; Mammalia; Primates; Hominidae.
UACAUGGAACACUACUGCAACAGCUCC